AGUUCGGAUGUAGUCUGCAACCCGACUACAUGAAGCUGGAAUCGCUAGUAAUCGCGGAUCAGAAUGCCGCGGUGAAUACGUUCCCGGGUCUUGUACACACCGCCCGUCACACCAUGGGAGUCGGAAAUGCCCGAAGUCUGUGACCCAACCUUAGGGAGGGAGCAGCCGAAGGCAGGUCGGAUGACUGGGGUGAAGUCGUAACAAGGUAUC
RNAcentral lists this ribosomal RNA (210 nucleotides) under uncultured bacterium. RNAcentral's name for it is "partial 16S ribosomal RNA". It matches the Rfam family "Bacterial small subunit ribosomal RNA", at positions 1290 to 1500 of the family's 1533-position model. The record is from RNAcentral.